AGCAAGUCUGACCAGCACAAAAAGCCUGCUCCUCCUAGGAGUGAUGGGAUGCUGAUCCCCUUCCAACUGGCCUCCAGCCAGCCAACUGCAGAUUUGGGGCUUGUCAGCCUCUGGAAUUCUGUGAGUUGAUUCCUUGUGAACUCUCUCCCUCCCCUCUCCCCUCUCUCUCCCCUUCUUUUCUUUCUCUCCUCCUCCCUUUUCCUCUCCCUCUUUCCCUCUCUCUCUUCUCUCUACUGUCCUCCCCUCUGUCUCCUUUCUCCCCAUUGUCUUGAUUGUUUCUCUGGAGAACCCGGACCAGAGCAAGCUUCCUCUCUCUACUCCAGCUUCCUCUGACUUCCUGGAAUUUCUGCCCCUUCUUACUUGUGUCAUGUGUUCCUUGGCUACCUCAGCAUGAACUCUAAUAGGAGCAAUCACUAACCGAAAUCCCAGGAAAGUGGUUCUGGGGGCACCAUCACGGGUCACAGGGCAAGAGAGGUCAGCGUUGAAUCCUGGAGGGCUUCCCGCAAUCAGUCACUACACCAGCAGAGACUAAGGCAGGGGAUGCAGGUAACAUCCAGGGCAAAGCACUGUCGAACUACAAGCUUGCCUUCCAGGUUCAUCUUCCUGCAUUAAAGGGUUAAGCUGGGAUCAAGGGACGGCCAUCCUGAGGUCCCAUAGUGGGAGAAACACACAGCAGGCAGAGUCAGGCUCCCUAAGUGUGGAUCUGAAGGAAAGCUGAAGUCCCAGAUACACAGUGAUGAAAACCUACAUCUGGAGACCAAAUGUGUCCCGGAAAAGAUGAAUGAACCCAGCUAGACCAUGGUUUAUGACAUAGCAGACUCAAGAACUACUUACUGCAGAGGAAUGGUUCAAAUGGAGGCCCAGACAAGCAAAUAAUUAUCAACGUGGAAAGCUGUACCCAAAGCCAGCGGUAAUUAAACCAGACAUUGUCUGCCAGGAGGGUUUGGAAGAUGGAGGGCAUUCUGAGUUCACGUGGGAGACUUGCAAGAAGUGACGGAGUUUGGGCAUGGGUGGGGGAAGGAAGUGGAAAAAACAAGAAAUUGGAACUUGGUUGGGGACAGAUUAUGCAAUAUGCCACAUUGACAAGACACAGCUCUGUACUGUGCUCAGUGAGGAACAGCCAGGUCUAUUUCAGAACCCUGCUGAAGAAUGAAGGUUGGCUUCUGGGGGUGGAGGGUGUGAGAAAAAGCCAUCACUGGUUUCCAGGUCUGAACCCCUCUGGACAUCAGGAAAAUGAAGAAAAUGGCUGUUCUUGUCUCUUGUGUUGUUGGAGGCUGACAUGAGAAUACACACAGAGCAUGGCCCUGUAAUACUAAUAAACCUUUGCAUCGUUGGGCUCUUUGCUAUCUGGAUGAAUAGUUAGGCACACAGGACGUUCUGUCUCUUAGACCUGGGCUUGUGUCCUGGCCAUGUUAGGUGGCAUGUUUUUAAUCUAAGCAAGACACAAGAUGGCCAGGAAGGAAUGGUCAAAAGUGUUUGGCAUUGCUAUGCUUUGAGAGC
Molecule: long non-coding RNA, 1500 nt
Filed under: Cricetulus griseus (Chinese hamster)
Lineage: Eukaryota; Metazoa; Chordata; Mammalia; Rodentia; Cricetidae
Description: lncRNA (ENSCGRG00015029114.1)
Source: RNAcentral